RNAcentral lists this ribosomal RNA (253 nucleotides) under uncultured bacterium. RNAcentral describes it as "partial 16S ribosomal RNA". It matches the Rfam family "Bacterial small subunit ribosomal RNA", at positions 524 to 776 of the family's 1533-position model. The record is from RNAcentral.
UACAGAGGGGGCAAGCGUUGUUCGGAAUUACUGGGCGUAAAGGGCGCGUAGGCGGCCUGUUAAGUCGAACGUGAAAUCUCGGGGCUCAACCCCGAAACUGCAUUCGAUACUGCCGUGCUUGAGGACUGGAGAGGAGACUGGAAUUUACGGUGUAGCGGUGAAAUGCGUAGAUAUCGUAAGGAAGACCAGUGGCGAAGGCGGGUCUCUGGACAGUUCCUGACGCUGAGGCACGAAGGCCAGGGGAGCAAACGGG